GACGAACGCUGGCGGCGUGCUUAACACAUGCAAGUCGAACGGAAAGGCCCUGCUUUUGUGGGGUGCUCGAGUGGCGAACGGGUGAGUAACACGUGAGUAACCUGCCCUUGACUUUGGGAUAACUUCAGGAAACUGGGGCUAAUACCGGAUAGGAGCUCCUGCUGCAUGGUGGGGGUUGGAAAGUUUCGGCGGUUGGGGAUGGACUCGCGGCUUAUCAGCUUGUUGGUGGGGUAGUGGCUUACCAAGGCUUUGACGGGUAGCCGGCCUGAGAGGGGGACCGGCCACAUUGGGAAUGAGAUACGGCCCAGAGUCGUACGGGAGGCAGGAGUGGGGAAUAGUGCACAAUGGGCGGAAGCCGGAUGCAGCAACGCCGCGUGCGGGAUGACGGCCUUCGGGUUGUAAACCGCUUUCGCCUGUGACGAAGCGUGAGUGACGGUAAUGGGUAAAGAAGCACCGGCUAACUACGUG
This 468-nucleotide ribosomal RNA is filed under the name uncultured bacterium. RNAcentral's name for it is "partial 16S ribosomal RNA". It matches the Rfam family "Bacterial small subunit ribosomal RNA", at positions 28 to 507 of the family's 1533-position model. The record is from RNAcentral.